GCGGUGGAGCAUGUGUUAAUUCGACGCAACGCGCAGAACCUUACCGUGGGCUUGACAUCCGCGGAACCUUAUGAAAGUAGGGGUGCCCUUCGGGGAGCCGCGAGACAGGUGCUGCAUGGCUGUCGUCAGCUCGUGUCGUGAGAUGUUGGGUUAAGUCCCGCAACGAGCGCAACCCUUAUCUUCAGUUGCCAUCAUUGAGUUGGGCACUCUGAAGAAACUGCCGGUGUCAAACCGGAGGAAGGUGGGAUGACGUCAAAUCAGCACGGCCCUUAUGUCCAGGGCUACACACGUGUUACAAUGGUCGGUACAGAGGGCAGCUACCUGGUGACAGGAUGCUAAUCUCGAAAACCGGCCUCAGUUCGGAUCGAAGUCUGCAACUCGACUUCGUGAAGCUGGAUUCGCUAGUAAUCGCGCAUCAGCCAUGGCGCGGUGAAUACGUUCCCGGGCCUU
This 450-nucleotide ribosomal RNA is filed under the name uncultured Desulfobacterium sp. Its description in RNAcentral is "bacterial SSU rRNA". It matches the Rfam family "Bacterial small subunit ribosomal RNA", at positions 929 to 1382 of the family's 1533-position model. The record is from RNAcentral. Lineage: Bacteria; Pseudomonadati; Thermodesulfobacteriota; Desulfobacteria; Desulfobacterales; Desulfobacteriaceae.